Molecule: ribosomal RNA, 439 nt
Filed under: uncultured bacterium
Lineage: Bacteria
Description: partial 16S ribosomal RNA
Rfam family: Bacterial small subunit ribosomal RNA
Source: RNAcentral
CUACGGGGUGCUCCAGUGGGGGAUAUUGCACAAUGGGCGAAAGCCUGAUGCAGCAACGCCGCGUGAAGGAAGACGGUUUUCGGAUUGUAAACUUCUAUCAGCAGGGAAGAAAAUGACUGUACCUGACUAAGAAGCCCCGGCUAACUACGUGCCAGCAGCCGCGGUAAUACGUAGGGGGCAAGCGUUAUCCGGAAUUACUGGGUGUAAAGGGUACGUAGGCGGUUCGUUAAGUCAGAUGUGAAAGCCCGAAGCUCAACUUCGGGACUGCAUUUGAAACUGAUGAACUAGAGUACAGGAGAGGUAAGUGGAAUUCCUAGUGUAGCGGUGAAAUGCGUAGAUAUUAGGAAGAACACCAGUGGCGAAGGCGACUUACUGGACUGUAACUGACGCUGAGGUACGAAAGCGUGGGGAGCGAACAGGAUUAGAUACCCGUGUAGUC